Molecule: long non-coding RNA, 1260 nt
Filed under: Canis lupus familiaris (dog)
Lineage: Eukaryota; Metazoa; Chordata; Mammalia; Carnivora; Canidae
Description: lncRNA (ENSCAFG00805006692.1, ENSCAFG00845002977.1)
Source: RNAcentral
CCUGAACAGCUAUAAGUCUCAAAAUUCCUUCAUUGUCCCUGUUAGGUCCUUGACUGUCUCAAAUUUUAACAAAGUGGUCCGCCAUAAAAAAUCUGGUUCCUUCGGAUGGCAUGAUGAAGUUGGUAUUCCUAAAACUUAUAGAUAGCAAAUGUAUAUUUUUUGUAAAAGAUGUUCCUAGAAGUUAACAUAGGUGUAAGCGGUGUGCUCUUUUGCGUGCAUAUAUUUUCCAAUGGUGUUUUGAAAUUCAGGAGAAUUGGAGUUUACAAAUGGAUUAGCCAUGUUAAUGUUGGCUUUAUAGAAAAUAUUUAAUGGCUCAUGAAUAGUUUGUGUUUUGUAUUUGUGAGUGUGCCUUAUUUCAUGUUUGAGGUGUUUCAAGGGGUCAAGUAUAUCAAAUUAAUAUUUUUUGGACUUAAGAAAAUUGGAGAAAUGUGGAAUUAAUGUGAGGUAUUAAAACCACAGGGCAUCACAGGGAUUACCUAGUCACUAAACCAAGACUUACUACCUAACCCAAUUGCAGCUUCGACCUCUCAGGAAUGUAAUCUUUAGCUGGUCAGCACGAGAAUUUCCUGGUCACUCACUAGGAGACCUACUGAUAGACCCUUCCAUUCCCCUUAGGAGGGUGACCUUGCCUUAAACAAUGGAUUCUUUGCUAAUAAUUUCCUUUUUUCUGCUCCCUCCCUACAUUUAAAAACUCUUGCUUUCCUGCAGCUGGAUGGAGCUCCUUUCUAUUUGCUAAAUGGGGUGCUUCCUGAUUCAUGAGUUGUUUAAUAAAGUCUGUUAGAUAUUUAGAAUGCACUGAGUUAAAUGUUUGCUCCUUCGCAAGGGCAACUUGGCCGGUGAGUGGUUUUCUUGACUUGCUGCCCAGCGACCCCCAGCAAGGUCCUGCUAUGACCUGGACACACAUAAUAGUCUAUCCCUGACUCUCAGCUCUGGUUCUUUGGUAAAAGACUGUGGAAAUUUCCCCUUUUCCUGCAGGACAGAAGUAUCAAAAGAGGCAUUUGCCACCAUUUCCCAAGCAGAUGUGUGCUCCGCUGCCUCCUCAGCCAGCAGAGUCCUAAGCAUCCUUUGGGGCUGGUUCCCCUCCUGCAUCCGAGGCCACUGGGGCCAUGGUUGGGCCCUUUUGGGAUCCAAGGGUGCUGUAGGCAACUAGAACGGUAUCCUUGGACUUGCAGAAAACUUCAGGAGCUAGCUCUGGUUGAGGUAAAGGCGACACUCCACAUGCAAAUUGCCAAGAUCAAAAUACAUAUGCCAAUAACAUGU